CAGAAUGAUACAUAGUUAGUAGAGGAAAAUUAGAAGAAGAAAGGAAAUAAGAAUUGUGGAUCGCAAAACCAGAAUCAGAAUUUAGUUCAAUUAUUUAUCAGGAAUAAGAGAUUAGUGAAGUUUUUGGUUGACGUUGGUCGUAGGAACUCCACAUGUUAUCAGGGUCGGCGGCUGACACGUUUUGGCAACCUUCUCCUCCUCAUCAUUUUUGCAUAUAAAUAAAUGUGUAGUAUAUAGAGUGGUGAGAGGGUACCACUACGGUUUAGAAUGUUUUGAAACAUGUACUUGUUAAAUAUUGGUUUUUGAAAUUAUAUAAAAUGUGCAUUUCAUUUA
This is a non-coding RNA of Salvia hispanica, 333 nucleotides long. The record is from RefSeq and is a predicted model, not a curated record. NCBI's taxonomy places the organism in Eukaryota, Viridiplantae, Streptophyta, Magnoliopsida, Lamiales, Lamiaceae.